AGUGAACGCUGGCGGUAGGCCUAACACAUGCAAGUCGAACGGCAGCACAGUAAGAGCUUGCUCUUACGGGUGGCGAGUGGCGGACGGGUGAGGAAUACAUCGGAAUCUACUUUUUCGUGGGGGAUAACGUAGGGAAACUUACGCUAAUACCGCAUACGACCUACGGGUGAAAGCAGGGGAUCUUCGGACCUUGCGCGAUUGAAUGAGCCGAUGUCGGAUUAGCUAGUUGGCGGGGUAAAGGCCCACCAAGGCGACGAUCCGUAGCUGGUCUGAGAGGAUGAUCAGCCACACUGGAACUGGGACACGGUCCAGACUCCUACGGGAGGCAGCAGGGGGGAAUAUUGGACAAUGGGCGCAAGCCUGAUCCAGCCAUACCGCGUGGGUGAAGAAGGCCUUCGGGUUGUAAAGCCCUUUUGUUGGGAAAGAAAAGCAGCAGGUUAAUACCCCGCUGUUCUGACGGUACCCAAAGAAUAAGCACCGGCUAACUUCGU
Molecule: ribosomal RNA, 491 nt
Filed under: uncultured bacterium
Lineage: Bacteria
Description: partial 16S ribosomal RNA
Rfam family: Bacterial small subunit ribosomal RNA
Source: RNAcentral